Xenopus tropicalis (tropical clawed frog) is the source of this 1413-nucleotide long non-coding RNA. RefSeq lists it as uncharacterized. The record is from RefSeq and is a predicted model, not a curated record. Lineage: Eukaryota; Metazoa; Chordata; Amphibia; Anura; Pipidae. The transcript is spliced from 5 exons.
UGACCAAACCCCAAAUUCUUCAUGAAAGAAUUGGUUGAAUACCAAACCGAAUUUGCACAUGGAUUCGGCCGAAUCCAAAUCCUGCUGAAAGAGCUAGAAUCCCAAACUGAAUCCUGGAUUUGGUGUAUCUCUAGUUUUAACACCAAAGGGAAUUUAAUGAGCAGUCCUUAGCCAGGCCAGAUCAACACAGGUGGCCAGACCAGCAGCAGCAAUUCUAAAUGGAAAAGCAUGAGUAAGCCAAUGGCUCAGCCAAGUCACCCCAGGACAGGUAAUCAGUGCAAAUGAAGCUGGAUGAACUGAAGUACAAUAGGUAAAUGGGAUGACAGUGGCGCUGCUGGGAACUGGAGAACCGACUGACUGCACAGCAGACCGAGAUGAGCAGCAAAUUAGAAUUUUGCAGGGGGGGGGGGGUAACAGACAGGGAAGCAGAGAAAUGGCAGCAGCUACAAGAAUGGGACAGAGUGCAGGCACAAGAAUAGGAGCUGAUGGUCCUGGAGACCUGUAGCCUGAUUGAAAUGGCAGGGAAGCAAUAGAGAACAGCUGAGAAGCAGAUGGCACAAGCAGAGGGCUAAGAAGUUGGCAGAGUGAGCAGAAAUGCAAAACAGACAUGGCUGACAUGGAGAGGACCCGUGCUGGAGGAACAGGAGAGUAACCGGUGCAAAGAGUGGAGACAUUUCAUUGGGAACUCAACUGAACACAAGGGGGCUCAUUUAUAAACACUGGGCAAAUAUGCCCCUAGGCAGUGACCUAUGGCAACCAAUCAGAAGUUUGUUUUUACUUUUUUGUCUGCAGCUGGCUGGAAAACUCUGAUCACAGAUUGGUUGGUUCUCCCAGAGAAGGGGCACUGAUGGUAUAGCACUUUUGGUGGGCAAUGUGUUGUCUGCAAGGAUGAAUGGAACUACACAAAAAAGAUAUAGAGGAAGCUGUGUAACCAUACUCAUGGAAGAAGACUUAAUAGUCUCAGCUGAUGGGGGCUACCAUUUAUCAUGUAUAUGAAUUGAUGACUGAUCCUUGGGGGGCAAAGGGUGGAGUUUGAGGUUGAUUGGCAUCUGCGCAAGCACGUAUUACCUGGCAUCCUCCGAGGGUGAAAAUUUAUUAAAAGCUGCCAUAAAAAAGCAAAACGCGAUAAGGAAGUGCCUGGAAGGAUGGUCAAAUAUCAUUCUGGCCUUGGCGGUGACAGCUGAAAGUGAAUAAUCUGCUGUCUCCUGUAGUGUGUCUAUAUCAAGCUUUCAAAUGGGGGUCACGCAGAAAGAGAGGAAUGGAAACAUACGUCUGCAACACAGAAUAGACAUAUAUGUGCAUUUAGAAGGGUAAAACAGAACUUGCGUGUAUCUAUAGUAUGAACCAACUUUUUAAUUGGUCUUCAUUGUUUAUUUUUUAUGUUUUUUUAAUUAUUUGCCUUCUUUUUCUAAA